UACAGAGGUGGCAAGCGUUGUUCGGAAUUACUGGGCGUAAAGGGCGCGUAGGCGGCCGCCUAAGUCAGACGUGAAAUCCCCAGGCUUAACUUGGGAACUGCGUCUGAUACUGGGUGGCUUGAGUCCGGGAGAGGGAUGCGGAAUUCCAGGUGUAGCGGUGAAAUGCGUAGAUAUCUGGAGGAACACCGGUGGCGAAGGCGGCAUCCUGGACCGGCAUUGACGCUGAGGCGCGAAAGCCAGGGGAGCAAACGGG
Molecule: ribosomal RNA, 253 nt
Filed under: uncultured bacterium
Lineage: Bacteria
Description: partial 16S ribosomal RNA
Rfam family: Bacterial small subunit ribosomal RNA
Source: RNAcentral